Molecule: ribosomal RNA, 253 nt
Filed under: uncultured prokaryote
Description: partial 16S ribosomal RNA
Rfam family: Bacterial small subunit ribosomal RNA
Source: RNAcentral
ACAGAGGGUGCAAGCGUUAAUCGGAAUUACUGGGCGUAAAGCGCGCGUAGGCGGUUGUGUAAGUCGGACGUGAAAUCCCCAGGCUCAACCUGGGAACUGCGUCCGAUACUGGAUGGCUUGAAUCCGGGAGAGGGAUGCAGAAUUCCAGGUGUAGCGGUGAAAUGCGUAGAUAUCUGGAGGAAUACCGGUGGCGAAGGCGGCAUCCUGGACCGGCAUUGACGCUGAGGAGCGAAAGCCAGGGGAGCAAACGGGA